CCUACGGGGCGCAGCAGUGGGGAAUAUUGGGCAAUGGGCGCAAGCCUGACCCAGCAACGCCGCGUGAAGGAAGAAGGCUUUCGGGUUGUAAACUUCUUUUAUGAGGGACGAAACAAAUGACGGUACCUCAUGAAUAAGCCACGGCUAACUACGUGCAAGCAGCCGCGGUAAUACGUAGGUGGCAAGCGUUAUCCGGAUUUACUGGGUGUAAAGGGCGUGUAGGCGGGACUGCAAGUCAGAUGUGAAAAUUAUGGGCUCAACCCAUAACCUGCAUUCGAAACUGUAGUUCUUGAGUGAUGGAGAGG
RNAcentral lists this ribosomal RNA (305 nucleotides) under uncultured bacterium. Its description in RNAcentral is "bacterial SSU rRNA". It matches the Rfam family "Bacterial small subunit ribosomal RNA", at positions 338 to 657 of the family's 1533-position model. The record is from RNAcentral.